RNAcentral lists this ribosomal RNA (986 nucleotides) under Cordyceps militaris. RNAcentral's name for it is "eukaryotic LSU rRNA". It matches the Rfam family "Eukaryotic large subunit ribosomal RNA", at positions 1 to 1017 of the family's 3401-position model. Lineage: Eukaryota; Fungi; Ascomycota; Sordariomycetes; Hypocreales; Cordycipitaceae. The record is from RNAcentral.
GUUGACCUCGGAUCAGGUAGGAAUACCCGCUGAACUUAAGCAUAUCAAUAAGCGGAGGAAAAGAAACCAACAGGGAUUGCCCCAGUAACGGCGAGUGAAGCGGCAACAGCUCAAAUUUGAAAUCUGGCCCCCGGGUCCGAGUUGUAAUUUGUAGAGGAUGCUUUUGGCGAGGUGCCUUCCGAGUUCCCUGGAACGGGACGCCAUAGAGGGUGAGAGCCCCGUCUGGUCGGACACCGAGCCUCUGUAAAGCCUCCUUCGACGAGUCGAGUAGUUUGGGAAUGCUGCUCAAAAUGGGAGGUAUAUGUCUCCUAAAGCUAAAUAUUGGCCAGAGACCGAUAGCGCACAAGUAGAGUGAUCGAAAGAUGAAAAGCACUUUGAAAAGAGGGUUAAAAAGUACGUGAAAUUGUUGAAAGGGAAGCGCCUAUGACCAGACUUGGGCCCGGUGAAUCACCCAGCGUUCUCGCUGGUGCACUUCGCCGGGCACAGGCCAGCAUCAGUUUGGCGCGGGGGAGAAAGGCUUCGGGAAUGUGGCUCCCCCGGGAGUGUUAUAGCCCGUUGCGCAAUACCCUGCGCUGGACUGAGGUACGCGCAUUCGCAAGGAUGCUGGCGUAAUGGUCAUCAGCGACCCGUCUUGAAACACGGACCAAGGAGUCGUCUUCGUAUGCGAGUGUUCGGGUGUCAAACCCCUACGCGUAAUGAAAGUGAACGCAGGUGAGAGCUUCGGCGCAUCAUCGACCGAUCCUGAUGUUCUCGGAUGGAUUUGAGUAAGAGCAUACGGGGCCGGACCCGAAAGAAGGUGAACUAUGCCUGUAUAGGGUGAAGCCAGAGGAAACUCUGGUGGAGGCUCGCAGCGGUUCUGACGUGCGAAUCGAUCGUCAAAUAUGGGCAUGGGGGCGAAAGACUAAUCGAACCUUCUAGUAGCUGGUUUCCGCCGAAGUUUCCCUCAGGAUAGCAGUGUUGAACUCAGUUUUAUGAGGUAAAGCGAA